UAGGGAAUCUUCGGCAAUGGACGAAAGUCUGACCGAGCAACGCCGCGUGAGUGAAGAAGGUUUUCUGAUCGUAAAACUCUGUUGUUAGAGAAGAACAAGGACGUUAGUAACUGAACGUCCCCUGACGGUAUCUAACCAGAAAGCCACGGCUAACUACGUGCCAGCAGCCGCGGUAAUACGUAGGUGGCAAGCGUUGUCCGGAUUUAUUGGGCGUAAAGCGAGCGCAGGCGGUUUCUUAAGUCUGAUGUGAAAGCCCCCGGCUCAACCGGGGAGGGUCAUUGGAAACUGGUAGACUUGAGUGCAAAAGAGGAGAGUGGAAUUCCAUGUGUAGCGGUGAACUGCGUAGAUAUAUGGAGGAACACCAGUGGCGAAGGCGGCUCUCUGGUCUGUAACUGACGCUUAGGCUCGAAAGCGUGGUGAGCAAACAGG
RNAcentral lists this ribosomal RNA (429 nucleotides) under Gemmatimonadota bacterium. RNAcentral describes it as "Gemmatimonadetes bacterium partial 16S ribosomal RNA". It matches the Rfam family "Bacterial small subunit ribosomal RNA", at positions 355 to 776 of the family's 1533-position model. Lineage: Bacteria; Pseudomonadati; Gemmatimonadota. The record is from RNAcentral.